UCUAGUGAUGAUGGCGAAGAGGUCACACCCGUUCCCAUGCCGAACACGGAAGUUAAGCUCUUCAGCGCCGAUGGUAGUUGGGGGGAUCUCCCCCUGCAAGAGUAGGACGUCGCUAGGC
Molecule: ribosomal RNA, 118 nt
Filed under: Guptibacillus hwajinpoensis
Lineage: Bacteria; Bacillati; Bacillota; Bacilli; Caryophanales; Guptibacillaceae
Source: RNAcentral